UACGGAGGGUGCAAGCGUUAUCCGGAUUCACUGGGUUUAAAGGGUGCGUAGGUGGGUCUGUAAGUCUGUGGUGAAAUCUCUGAGCUUAACUCGGAAACUGCCAUGGAUACUAUAGAUCUUGAAUACCGUGGAGGAUAGCGGAAUAUGUCAUGUAGCGGUGAAAUGCUUAGAUAUGACAUAGAACACCAAUUGCGAAGGCAGCUGUCUACCCGAAUAUUGACACUGAGGCACGAAAGCGUGGGGAUCAAACAGG
RNAcentral lists this ribosomal RNA (253 nucleotides) under uncultured bacterium. RNAcentral's name for it is "partial 16S ribosomal RNA". It matches the Rfam family "Bacterial small subunit ribosomal RNA", at positions 524 to 776 of the family's 1533-position model. The record is from RNAcentral.